UAAAGUGGUACGCGAGCUGGGUUUAGAACGUCGUGAGACAGUUCGGUCCCUAUCUGCCGUGGGCGUUUGAGAAUUGAGAGGGGCUGCUCCUAGUACGAGAGGACCGGAGUGGACGAACCUCUGGUGUUCCGGUUGUGUCGCCAGACGCAUUGCCGGGUAGCUACGUUCGGAACUGAUAACCGCUGAAAGCAUCUAAGCGGGAAGCAGGCCUUAAGAUGAGUUCUCACUUUAACUUAGAGUUAACUGAAGGGCCGUUGGAGACUACAACGUUGAUAGGCUGGGUGUGGAAGUUCAGUAAUGAAUGAAGCUAACCAGUACUAAUUGCCCGUGAGGCUUGACCAUAUAACACCCAA
This 353-nucleotide ribosomal RNA is filed under the name Rhodospirillaceae bacterium. RNAcentral's name for it is "bacterial LSU rRNA". It matches the Rfam family "Bacterial large subunit ribosomal RNA", at positions 2589 to 2925 of the family's 2925-position model. Lineage: Bacteria; Pseudomonadati; Pseudomonadota; Alphaproteobacteria; Rhodospirillales; Rhodospirillaceae. The record is from RNAcentral.